This is a long non-coding RNA of Maniola jurtina (meadow brown), 474 nucleotides long. RefSeq lists it as uncharacterized. The record is from RefSeq and is a predicted model, not a curated record. The transcript has 3 exons. Lineage: Eukaryota; Metazoa; Arthropoda; Insecta; Lepidoptera; Nymphalidae.
UAGAUAGAUGAUGAAUUUUUAUAAUUUCAAUUCUUUACCAUCAAACAAUAGAGUUUCAGAGUUUUUGGGUCUUCGAAUCGUCCCGCUUUGAGAUGCAACUUGGCACAGCAUCAAAAUGUUUGGGAAAUCGUGCCGUGGACUUUAUAUAUUUCCAAGAUGAGGUCGCAGCACCCCUCAAUAAAGACCCAUCCAAUAUUUAGCCGCAGUUGAUGGGUAUAAAUUCCCGCCCGCCCUUGAAGAUAGCGUCAAAGGUGGGGCUGCAGCCUGCAAGGUGCGGCCACCCCUCAGCUAAUGUGUUUAGCCAUCAUCUACUGAUCUAUGUUCUAUUCCAUUUACAUGACGAUAUUUCUGGCACAGUGGUAUGCACUGUCUUAUUAAUAGGAGGAUCUGGAUUCGAUUACCAGCUGGAACAGUUUGAAAAAAUCCGGCUUCAUUCGUUGUGUGAUAUAAUAUGAAAAGUUAUGAGGUGCGUGC